Non-coding RNA from Castor canadensis (American beaver), 4774 nucleotides. NCBI's taxonomy places the organism in Eukaryota, Metazoa, Chordata, Mammalia, Rodentia, Castoridae. The record is from RefSeq and is a predicted model, not a curated record.
CCCUCCACAUUCACUCGUCUUCGGGCCACAGCUCGCGGUAGUGUCCCUGUUCCCACGGGCCCCGCCGUCCUGAGUUCAUCUUCGGGCGCUUGUCCGCGUCUCGCCCCUCACCUGAGCCCGAACUUCGCGCGGCCGUCGCCUAACAGCCCUGGCGGGUGUGGAGACCCCUGCGUGACCGGGGGCGGCGGGAGGGCCGCAGCGUAGGUCACCAGCCGUGUGGUUUCUCUUUCCGCAGGAAUCCUUCACACGGAGAACGAGUGUGCGUCUGUCCGCUCCUCCGGAAAUGGCCAAGGCGCUUUAUUAAAGAGCCGGCCUGGUUUGCUAUCUCCCAUGAUACUGCUCUUUAGUUAAAAGAGUGGUCAGUCCAAAAUGCUUUUCAGCUGUAGGAUCUUCAGGUUCUAAUGAAGCUCACGUGGCUACUUUAACUCCAGGCUGUCAAACAGUUGUGGCCUGAUGAAACUGUGGGACUAUUUGGCCCUCGGGAUCAGAGAUUCCAGCAUCCUGGAAACAUAGGUUUUGAUUGUCACCUCAGUGGAACUGCUUCCCAGAAGAAAAACCAGAUUCAUAAAACUUUGCCUGAUGUUCUAGCAGAACCUUUAUCAGCUGAAAGACAUGAAUUUGUGAUGACACAGUAUGUGAAUGAGUUUCAGGUUUGAACUGAGAGCCUACACCUUGAGCCUAUUCACCAGCCCCUUUUUUUGUUUUGUUUUGUUUUGUUUUGUUUUGUGCUGGGUAUUUUCGAGGUAGGUUCUCUGGAACUAUUUCCCCAUGCUCAUUUAUCUCUGCCUCCUGAGUAGCUAGGACUGCAGACAUGAGCCACCAGCGCCAGGCGCGUUUUGUUUAAAUUUUGUAACUAGGAAUUGCACUAUAUAGUUUCAGGUAGAGUUUUUGAUCAAAGACAUUUUGUUAGAAACAAUAAUCCCUCACAGUUACUAUGAUUUUAUUAGAUGACCUGACAUUGGGACCCAGUUGACUUUGCCUGUCUUUAUACCUUAAAUAAUUCUUUCUCAGUCUUCUUGGUUUUUUUGUUCCUCCUCUGCCUACCAAAUUUAUUUGAAAGUGCCAGAGUUGAGUGUGCAAUCCAAAUAUGCCCAGAAUUGCUAUGAAGAGGUAUGUCACACUUUCCGCAUGGAGACAUUAAACAUGCAGUAGGUAAUACUAAUUUUUCAUCUGCCAAGUAAAGUGCUCUGUAGUAAUCCUGAUGCUCUGUACCUUAAUAUUUAAUGCGUCUGUCAACCAAACUGAGUUCAUUUUACUUUUCAAAUAUAAUGUGUAUUUGUAAAAAUGACUUAGUACAAUAAUUUAACUUAGUCCUUAAUUUUCUAAGGUUAUUUUUAUGAAGUAUGUGUCUUUCUAAAAAGCAAAGUAUUUCAUUUUUAGAUUUUGAAUCACUAUUUCCUGAAGUGGCUGAUAGCAAACUAAUGACUCUGUUACACAGAAAACUAACGGUGAUAUGACUGUUUGGAGUGAAGAAGUAGAACUUGAAAGAGAAAUGUUUAUAGAAAAGUAAUUUUUUAAAGUUGCUAAUUUUACGAUCUGAUUUCAGUACCCUUUAAGUAGUGCUUUAAAAUGAUGAAUUUUUUCCAAUUCACUUUGUGAAGUAUUUCAAAAUACUGAAAAUUGUAAGUAUUUUGUUUGAGAAUUUAAGCUCCUAAAAUUUUUAGUUUCCUUGAAAAACUUAGAUUCCAUUCAUUACUCUCCUGAAUCUUUCUAAAGUUUGUCAUCUUUCUCUUUGUUUUUCUCUCUCUCUCAGCGUCUCUCUUUCCUUCUCCUCUCUCUCUCUCCUCCCCUCCUUUCCACCUCUUUACCUUCCCCACAUUAUAGUAUAUCAAGUAAAUAGCAUUACUCCAAAUUAUCUCCAAGGAGUAAGUAGUAAUAGUAUAUAGUACAAUAGUAGGACUGGGCAUGGUGGUGCAUGCCUGUGAUCCCAGCUACUCAGGAGGCAGAGACAGAGGAUGAAGGUUUUUGGCCAAUCCAGGCAAAGAAGUUUUAGGAAGACCAUAUAGUGAUUCCAGUAUAAUUCUCAUUUUUCUUUAACAAGUUGUAGGGCUUUGAAAUAGCAACUGUGUAAUCUUGAGAUUUAUAAUGUUAUAUUUACUGAAACCAUUUCAGUUUCUAUAAAAAAGCAUUCAGUUGAAGUAUUUCAGUGAUUAUUUUGGAAGCACCCCCUAGCUAAUUCUCCAAGUACAUUUGUUUUUAUGGCUUAACCUAUUAGCAUUUUUUCCAGCACAUGUCAGUAUUUCCUGUUGAACAUAAAUCUGAAGAGAAACACUUAAACUGAUUCUUCUUGUAAUAAUUUCAUAUUCUUUUAGUCAACCGUUAUAAAUAUUUGAUUGUAUUGUUCUGCUCUCCUUGUAGUUUUUACGUAUAGCACAUCUUUUUAUGAAAUUGAAGUAUGUUCUAAUGACUAUUCUUAUUUUUAAGAAUUACAAGGAUUAAUAAGGUGUAGUAAUAGGUUAUAAUAUGAGCAUUAGCCUACAGAAUACAGUUUUAUUUAGUGUCAUGUUAAUCAUUACUUUACCAGUAGAUGCAGGGAAAAAAUACGUUAACAUAGAUGUUGUGCCUCUGUAAUAGGGGUCAGUGUAUUUUCUGUAAAAAGUAAAAGUCAAAAUUACAACAAAUUUAGUUUCAUAACAAGAAAAACUUUUGAGAAAUUAAACUAAACAAAGUUUAUUUGAACAAAGGAUGAUUUAGAAACGGGCAGCCCACACAACUAGAAUGAGUUCAGAGAGAUCUGCAGUGCCUUGGGAGGCAGAAGGGAGCAGUAAGAUCCAGAAACAACUCUGAGCUUGCCUUAUUUGUACAGUCAUUGAACAGCCUGUGACUAGGUAACACUUAGCUUUUUUGUUGUUACAAAAUGUAUUCCUAUGUUUGGCUUUCUUAUGUACUAAUUCUGGUUGCAGUAUGUUGAGACUGGAGGUAGGGAGGCAGCCUCAGGCCAGUUUUAACAGUCUACAUAUCUAGGUGGCUUUCUCAUUCUGUAAAAUAGAAUGAAUGCUCCCAUAAGCUGAGCAGAGGAUUUAGGCUGUGUACGUAGAAAAGGUCUGAAGAAAGUAGAAACGUAGAACCUCCUCUUUCAACGUUCCUUUCCUUCUAAGGUAAAAAUAAAUGGGACUUUCUCAUGAUACUGGCUCAGGUAAAUUUGGCCCCUCUGAUUGACUGCUACCAAUCUCCUGGCCUUUUUUCUUUUUUGAAAACUGGCCUGUUUCAUAGAGAGUUUGAUAGCUGAUUAUGUGGCAGGUAGCAUGAAGACUACAUUCUGGUUUGGUCUGUUCUGCUUGUGCCCAGAACAAAAAGAGUGACCUCCCAUAAACUUUGUUUAACAAAGAUAGGCUCCGAGACUAAUUGGAUGCCUGAAACUCAAAGAUGCCCCAUGUAUGCCUCAAUUCUAAUAUAACCAAAUAGGGCUCAUUAUCUCCUUCCAUGCAUGUUAUCUCCAUCAAAGGUAUAUUUCCUGCCUUCUCUAUUUCAAAAUUGAACCACUGCUUGCUGCCAUCACAUGCAGUUUUCAAAUACCAUCUGUUGUCCUUAAAUCUUUAAGUCCAUUCUCUUUUAUCGUUCCUGCUUCUGGUGUCUUAGUUCAAAAAAUAAUGACUUGAAAUCAACUUAUUUUCUGAAACUAGCAUUGGAGCCCUUAUUUACAUUUACCAAUCCAUUUUCCAUCUGUGUUUGUUUAGCUUUACAAUGCAAAGGUCAUUUAUAUUCAUCUGAUAAGAAUUUCCCAAUGUCUCUGUGUAAUGUAUAGCUUUUUAAUUUAACAUAAAAAUUAUUUCAUUUUCAGCCUGCCAGUGCACCUUCUCAAACUCACCUCUCAAAACUUGCCCUUACACACUGUUGCUCCAUUUCACUACUUGAACUAUGAAACCUCUGUAUAUCCUCCCAAUGCCUUUAGCAUACUAUUUUAUUAAACUGAAAUACCCUCCCCUUUUUUAGUCUAAGGAAAUCCACAUCAUUUUUUAAACGGAAGUUAUUUUGAAGUUUUCCUUUAAACACCAGCUUGCUCUCUUCUCUAUUUCUACCAUAACUACCAUAUGCUUUUAGUAUAAAAAAAUGCAUAGCCUUGAACAAUUGUAUUGUAUUAUAUUUGCCUUAGGAGUGGGACACAUAUUUAUCAACUGUGUUUUCUUCAGAGAUUAGUACAGUAAUAGUACACAGGACAGACUGAAAAUACAUUUCUUUAUUAACUACUGACAGGAUGACUUUUUUGUCUGGUCAACUGAGAAACCGUUAAAUGCCUACUGUUUAUGAAUAUGUAAACUAGUUGCUAGAUGAAGGAAGACUAGAGAGAGGAAGGAACAAAGAAGUAGGAGAACCGCAAAUAUUAAAAUUUCAUUUGGAAGAAAUUUCUGGUUUUCAAAAAUCUUACGGCCCCACGGUGAUCACUGGAUAAGGAUGUGAUUAUAGAUCUCGCUUUAAGUAUGGAACCUGCAGUCAAGGUCACCAGGUGUCCAUCUCCACAAGGCAGAAGCCUUAGUGCCUGAAUCCACAUCUUGCAGGCACACCUGUAAAUCUUCAUUAGAAAUUUGACUUGUGGAGCUAAUACAGAAGUCUUAAAGCAACAGAGUCUAUCAUGAGAAGGGGAUCGGAAACCAGGGUAAAAUUCAGUUAGAGGUGAAUCAACAUGGGUCAUAACACAUGUACACGAAAGCGAUGCUAGGAAUAUUUCUGGAUAGCUGUCCUUAACUAGCAAAAAUACUUUGUCUUCCUUAUUAUGCUUGUCUCUGUUCUUCACCAAAAUUAGUCAUACAGGCAGAAAAGGACCUGCCUGGAACUG